CCACUGCACAUGCACAUAUGUCUGCAGGGAAGAACUGUCGUAUCCCGUGGCUCGGACAGGCAAAUAACACAUUCUUUCCCAGGAUCACUACCAUUAUAGUCGUCAUCAACAGAGUUGCCUAUCCCAUAUAUCUCUUGCAAUUCGUAUCUCGUUCCAUUCACCCACAAGAUUUGCUUCACUACGCGUACCUGGUAGUUGCCAUGUUCCUUCUUCUCAAACAGGGCUAGCGUAAUUUGUGAGUUUGGAGUGCCAGUCUUUGGGUUUUCAGCUAAAGGUUCCGGCUCAGUUGGGGG
This 293-nucleotide unclassified non-coding RNA is filed under the name Hevea brasiliensis (rubber tree). The record is from RNAcentral. Lineage: Eukaryota; Viridiplantae; Streptophyta; Magnoliopsida; Malpighiales; Euphorbiaceae.